GGCUGUGACCGUCUAUGACAAGCCAGCAUCUUUCUUUCAAGAGACCUCUGGACCUGCAGCACCAACUCUUCAUGAAGCUGGGCGGCACGCACUCUCCGUUCAGGGCCUGAACCUGAGGACCCAGACACGGAGCGGUCGGCCUUCAUGGAGCGGGAUGCUGGGAGCGGGCUGGUGAUGCGCCUCCGCGAGCGGCCAGCCCUGCUGGUCAGCAGCACAGGCUGGACAGAGUUUGAACAACUGACUCUUGAUGGACACAACCUUCCUUCUCUCGUCUGUGUGAUAACAGGCAAAGGGCCUCCGAGGGAGUAUUACAGCCGCCUCAUCCACCAGAAGCAUUUCCAGCACAUCCAGGUCUGCACCCCUUGGCUGGAGGCCGAGGACUACCCCCGCUUCUAGGGUCGGUGGAUCUGGGUGUCUGUCUGCACACGUCCUGCAGUGGCCUGGACCUGCCCAUGAAGGUGGUGGACAUGUUCGGGUGCUGUUUGCCUGUGUGUGCCGUGAACUUCAAUUUACAUGAGCUGGUGAAACAUGAAGAAAAUGGCCUGGUCUUUGAGGACUCAGAGGAACUGGCAGCUCAGCUGCAGGUGCUUUUCUCAAACUUUCCUGAUCCUGCGGGCAAGCUAAACCAGUUCCGGAAGAACCUGCGGGAGUCGCAGCAGCUCCGAUGGGAUUAGAGCUGGGUGCAGACUGUGCUCCCUUUGGUUAUGGA
Molecule: long non-coding RNA, 709 nt
Filed under: Homo sapiens (human)
Lineage: Eukaryota; Metazoa; Chordata; Mammalia; Primates; Hominidae
Description: non-protein coding lnc-ART1-6:7
Source: RNAcentral